AUUGAACGCUGGCGGCAGGCCUAACACAUGCAAGUCGAACGAGUGGCGGACGGGUGAGUAAUGUCUUGGACACUGCCCGAUGGAGGGGGAUCGCUACUGGACACGGUAGCUAAUUCCGCAUACCAUAGGCUGUGCCCAGAUGGGUUUAGCUAGUAGGUGGGGUAACGGCUCACCUCGGCGACGAUCCCUAGCUGGUCUGGGAGGAUGCCCAGCCCAACUUGAACUGGGACACGGGCCAGAAUCCUAACGGGAGCAGGAGGGGGGGAUUUUCCGCAAAGGACGGAAGGCUGACGGAGGAACGGCGGGGGGGUGAUGACGGGCUUCGGGUGGUAAAGGUCGUUAAGCGGGACGGCGGUACCGGAAGAAAAAGCAACGGCUAACUACGUGCCAGCCGCCGCGGUAAUAC
RNAcentral lists this ribosomal RNA (406 nucleotides) under uncultured bacterium. RNAcentral's name for it is "partial 16S ribosomal RNA". It matches the Rfam family "Bacterial small subunit ribosomal RNA", at positions 29 to 526 of the family's 1533-position model. The record is from RNAcentral.